This 375-nucleotide long non-coding RNA is filed under the name Felis catus (domestic cat). RNAcentral describes it as "lncRNA (ENSFCAG00000048393.1)". The record is from RNAcentral. Lineage: Eukaryota; Metazoa; Chordata; Mammalia; Carnivora; Felidae.
UCUUCGCGGACAAUUGGAAGUGGCUUUUAUCACUUUGGACCUGAUGGCUAAAGAAAGGAGCCAUAUACCUCCAGAAGACUACUCCCUUGGCCAUAAGAGAGAACAUUGGAAGGACCAUUCAAGCAAAUCAUGGAAGACACCUAACAGAGUGUCAGCAAAUGUUUAUUAAACUACAUUAAUUGACUGAUCCCAUAACACUUAAAAGACCUAUUAGAGAGGUGGAGUCAAGUCCAGGAAGAAACACCACCAAAAGGUAUAGUGAUUUAUAUUUCUCAUGUACGCUUAAAAAGAUCACUCUGAUUCUAAAAAUGGUGAAUAUUUAUUGUAGAAGAUUUUUUAAAUAAAGGAAGAAAUGAAGAAUAUAAAAAUGAUGUA